CGGACGGGGGAGUAAUGUCUGGGAAACUGCCCGAUGGAGGGGGGUAACUACUGGAAACGGUAGCUAAUACCGCAUAACGUCGCAAGACCAAAGAGGGGGACCUUAGGGCCUCUUGCCAUCGGAUGUGCCCAGAUGGGAUUAGCUAGUAGGUGGGGUAACGGCUCACCUAGGCGACGAUCCCUAGCUGGUCUGAGAGGAUGACCAGCCACACUGGAACUGAGACACGGUCCAG
Molecule: ribosomal RNA, 232 nt
Filed under: uncultured bacterium
Lineage: Bacteria
Description: partial 16S ribosomal RNA
Rfam family: Bacterial small subunit ribosomal RNA
Source: RNAcentral